CCCUUAGAUGUUCUGGGCCGCACGCGCGCUACACUGACGAAUUCAACGAGCUUAUAACCUUGGCCGAAAGGUCUAGGUAAUCUCCAAAAUUCGUCGUGAUGGGGAUAGACUUUUGCAAUUUUUGGUCUUCAACGAGGAAUUCCUAGUAAACGCAAGUCAUCAACUUGCAUUGAUUACGUCCCUGCCCUUUGUACACACCGCCCGUCGCACCUACCGAUUGAAUGGUCCGGUGAAGCCUCCGGAUUGGCGCGCACCUCGGUGCCGCCGAGAAGUUGGCUAAACCUUACCAUUUAGAGGAAGGUGAAGUCGUAACA
This 314-nucleotide ribosomal RNA is filed under the name uncultured eukaryote. RNAcentral describes it as "partial 18S ribosomal RNA". It matches the Rfam family "Eukaryotic small subunit ribosomal RNA", at positions 1470 to 1796 of the family's 1831-position model. The record is from RNAcentral.